Long non-coding RNA from Ostrinia nubilalis (European corn borer), 400 nucleotides. RefSeq lists it as uncharacterized. The transcript is spliced from 2 exons. The record is from RefSeq and is a predicted model, not a curated record. NCBI's taxonomy places the organism in Eukaryota, Metazoa, Arthropoda, Insecta, Lepidoptera, Crambidae.
AAUGUAAAAAGCAUUUUAUUAGAUGUUAGUACAGCUUUGAAACAGCUUUCAGAAUUACAAUGCCAAAGUUACGUUUUAUUCUAAGGCUGAACGUUUUAUUUUGUUUGUUUGAAAGUAUUCGAAAAAACUUAUCGCAUUUUAUUGUCCGAUUUGAUUAUUUUUCGUUUAGAGUAUUGCAGUGCAAUGGUGUUGUGAGGAGAUGUUUUAAUGUCUUUGUUUAAAAUAAUUUAUCAUAAGAUGCCUUUUAAAAUAGUGCAAACGACCGAAAGGGAUGAAGGAAUGUUCUACGGAACUUCUUGACUCACACAACAACCGAUUGUACUGUAUUUUGUGUAUGAGGUGUAUCAUUUUUUGGAACACGUUUUGCAUUUCUUAAACCAAAUAUAAAGUUUGAAUAUUC